Molecule: unclassified non-coding RNA, 318 nt
Filed under: uncultured fungus
Lineage: Eukaryota; Fungi
Description: partial contains 5.8S ribosomal RNA and internal transcribed spacer 2
Rfam family: 5.8S ribosomal RNA (bases 1-133)
Source: RNAcentral
UGGUUCUGGCAUNGAUGAAGAACGCAGCGAAAUGCGAUAAGUAAUGUGAAUUGCAGAAUUCAGUGAAUCAUCGAAUUUUUGAACGCAUAUUGCACCUUAGAGUAUUCUUUAAGGUAUACCUGUUUGAGCGUCGUUUAAAACCUAAAGCUUUGCUUUUUGUUAGAUUUUGGUUGAUUCUCAUCAUUCCAAUUUCUUAAACAGAGUGGCGUUAUUUUGUUAGCCGAGACACAGUGAAAAUGUGUGCCAAGUUGACAAGAUGUACUUGCCAGUUAGAACAUUUCAAUGUUCGACCUCAAAUCAAGUAAGACUACCCGCUGA